This 3528-nucleotide long non-coding RNA is filed under the name Homo sapiens (human). Its description in RNAcentral is "non-protein coding lnc-MTSS1-1:6". The record is from RNAcentral. Lineage: Eukaryota; Metazoa; Chordata; Mammalia; Primates; Hominidae.
GUCUUUGCUGCUGUCGCCUAAGAGGUGGACACAGCUCCCGAGGACUUACGGUGAAAAAAGUGGGGAGGAAAUGGCCUUGAAGGUCAGGGGGAGGGAAGUGAGUGUGAGGGGCAGAGAGUGGCAGCCUCUGCCUCUCCCAUGCACUUCCUGUUUGCACCUGAGCUUGCUCGCCUGAAAAAUGGAGGGGAUGCUCCCUCCUGUGCAGGCCUGGCACUUCACAGGUGCUCAACAAAUGCAUGUUUCUUCCUUUUUUGCCCAAAAGCUAGAAGCCAAGCCAGUCUCCUCACCUGAAAAAUGGGAAGAGCAAAAUAUCCUACCCUAGAGGGUUGCUGUGAGAGCCGAAAGCGUCUAUCCACGUGAAGCACAUGGGACAGAGCCUGGCACAAAGAAAAUGCUUCCCAGGAUGACCCAGGAGAGAGGCACAAAUGUGAUGAGCAAGACAGUCUGAGAUCUCUCUGGAAGUCCUCUACCCCACCCGUGAGUGCUCUGCAGCCAGGAACACAGGUAGAAGAUAGGCAGAAGACCAAUGCCUCAGCCCAGCCUCCCUGGAAGAUGAGGAUCUGUCCCAAACAGUGGGGACACAGGAAUCCCAAGUGGAGCCACUCCCUUCUCCAGGCAAUGGAAAGCCCUGAUGGAGCCCGGUGUAAACUAUGCAGGGUGCCAGAGCCCCCACUGACAGCGCUGGUGUCCACAUGUGGUCACAGGGAUACAGCGGCAGCAUCCCAAAGCCCUAGCCUGGUCCAUCACCCUCAAAACUGCCUCUGGUUUGUCCAAGUCUACCAGGAUUCAAGUUCAUUUCAGAAAAGCAGUGGCCAGAAACCAAGGCCUGGAGGGGGCUGGGGAGGUGUCAGGGAAGGGAUCAGAGGCCAAGCUCUGUGUUUCCUCAGACAAAGAGAGAAAGCAGGCUGAGAGAUGGCGGCAGCAUGUGACACCUGGGCCACAGGCCUGGGCAGCAGCCGUGGCAGCCAAGGGGAUAAUGGCUCUCUUUGUCCUGCGUGUAAAUUCUCCGGAAAAGAAAGGAUUCCAGGGCCUGCUUCUCCGGCUUGCACAAUGCUGGCCGCCUGGGGCCCCACUGCGAGGGCCUGCCAUGGCAUUCGGGGAGCAGUGAGGCCCCUUCUCUGUCUCGUUCCUUCCAGGCGUGCAGAAGCGGAAAGUCAGGCUGCCGUGCCAGACAUUCUGCAGGGGGUUGGGAGGCUGGGCUGAGGCACAGCCUGUGCCAGGAGCUUUGUUUCACAGCCUCGAGGAAACCAAAGCAUCUUGAAGCUCUGAAUUAGAAAGAGUCUUAGAGAGCAUCCAUGCCAGCUCUUCCUAAUACUUGUCCCACCCCCUACCUUCUCUGCCUACCACUCCCCACUCCCCUGCCUUCAGCAGCCAAGAAUGGUUACAAACACAGGCUUUGGAGUCAGAGAGGGCUGAGUUCAAAUGCUGACAAUGCCACUCACAAGCUAUUUCAUCUCUAUGGGCUUCAGUUUCUCCACCUGCAAAAUGGACAUAAUAGCACCUACUCAUAAGAUUGUCAAUAGGAAUAAGUGAGAAAAUGCAUGUACCAUGCUUAAUGUGGACACAGCCUCCAGAAGCGCUCAAUAAGGGUAGACGGUCCAGUAGGUCACCCAGCCUGUACUUGAUUUCCUCCAAGGGCAGGCAAUCACUGCUUGCAUUCCAUUUUCAGACCAAGUUCAAAUCUGUCUCUUAUACCCUCAUGGGUGCUGAGGGUAAAGGGGAGAGGGCCUACAUACAUUAAACAUUUCCUACAUGUUACUGUUGCCAUAAAUUACUCACAGAACUUAAGGGCCUGUCUUAGUCUAUUUGUGUUGCUAUAAAGGAAUACCCGAGGCUGGGUAAUUUAUAAAGACAAGAGGUUUAUUUGGCUCAUGGUUCUGCAGGCUGUACAAGAAGCAUGGAGCCAGCGUCUGGUCUGGUGAGGGCCUCAGGAAGCUUCCAUUCAUGGAAAGGGGAAGGAGAGCUAGUGUGCAGAGAUCACAUGCUAAGAGAGGAAUGGGGAGGGGGUGGUGCAGAGGUGCCAGGAUUUUUAGCAGCCAGCUCUCAUGAAAACUAAUAGAGUGAGAGCUCAUUUAUUACAAUGCAAGAAUGGCACCAAGCAAUUCAUGAGGGAUCAGCCACCAUGACACAAACACCUCCCAUGAGGCCCCACCUCCAGUAUUGGGGAUCACAUUUCAACAUGAGGGUUGGAGGGGUCAAAUAUCCAAACCAUAGCAGGGCCUGUCCAGGGCCACACAGAGGAAGUGACCAGGAUUUGAGCCUGAGUCUUUCCAGCCUUCUGCACCAUGAUGCCGUAAGGGAAAACUUUAUAUAUGUGAAAACAGCUCCACGGCCCCCUCAGUGUCUUCUCUUCCCCACAGAAAACAUCUCCUAGGCCUCAGGGUUUCGUUUUGUGUUCUGCCACCAUCCUGGCCCCUAUCCUCUUGACAGGCUCUAAUUUGUUACUGUCUCUCUUAAAUAAAUAGCUUGCAGACUUAUUCCAGCUGUCUUCUGACCAGUGCAGAAUAGGAAUGCACUCUCACCUCCUUUAUUCUAGGGGCUCUGUUUUUGCUAAUAACACCUAAGAUGAUGUGGCCCUUGGACCAUUCACAUUAUGCUGAUGGCUCUCUCAUACUUAAUGAUCUUCAAUCUGCAAGAAUAACAAGAGCCUUUGUGCUCUGAACAGCUCGUAGCAGUCAUUGCAGAUCUUCAUUUCAGGUAAUAGAACCUUCUUCAACUAGUUUAAGCAGUCAAGCCUUUUAUAUAUUUGGUGGCUCACAGAAUCUCCAGCAGGGCUGAAGAGUCAGGCGUGGAAGAGACACACCCAGGAACAACUCACCAACCACUCCUGACCCGGCUUCUCCACUGGAGACACCAUUGCCAUUAGACAAGAAUGAACCUGCACACCUUGCUGAUGCUGGUGUAGCACUGUCGCUAGAACCUCUGCCUCUGCUCCUCUUGGUCUCCCACAUUCAGUACCUCCUUCUUCACCUUGGUCUCUUCUAAGCCUCCGUGGGUGCAUUUCAGGGAUUAAAUGAGUUAAUAGAUGUAUAGUCAGCCUCCAACAUGGUUCCAGUAAUUCUCACCUCCUGGUAUUGUGUCUUUGUAUAGGCCCCUCCCACAAUGGAUAGGGCUGACCUGUGUAACCAACAGGAUGUUGCAGAAAUGACAUAGUGUGACUUCAACACUAAGUCACAUAAGACAUCGCAACUUCUGCCUUGCUCUUUUGGAGCACUUGUUGUAGGGAAAACCAGCUGCCAUGUCAUAAGGACACUUAAGCAAUGCUCUGGAGAGAUCUACAUGGCAAAGAACUGAGGCCUCCUGCCAACCCCCAGCACAAAUGAGCCAGGCAUGCAAGACAUCAUCUUGGAAAGGGAUCCUGCAGCCUCACUUGAGCCUUCAGAUGAUGCAGCUCCAGCUGACAUCUUGGCUGCAACCUCAUGAGGGACCCUGGGCCAGCACCACCCAGCCAAGCUGCUCCAGACACCUGAUCCACAAAAACUUUGUGAGAUAAUAAAAUAAAAUACAUUUUAACAUUUUUUGCUUACA